Molecule: ribosomal RNA, 503 nt
Filed under: uncultured bacterium
Lineage: Bacteria
Description: partial 16S ribosomal RNA
Rfam family: Bacterial small subunit ribosomal RNA
Source: RNAcentral
AUUGAACGCUGGCGGCAGGCUUAACACAUGCAAGUCGAGCGGGGUGAUGGUGCUUGCACUAUCACUUAGCGGCGGACGGGUGAGUAAUGCUUAGGAAUCUGCCUAUUAGUGGGGGACAACAUCUCGAAAGGGAUGCUAAUACCGCAUACGUCCUACGGGAGAAUGCAGGGGAUCACUUGUGACCUUGCGCUAAUAGAUGAGCCUAAGUCGGAUGAGCUAGUUGGUGGGGUAAAGGCCUACCAAGGCGACGAUCUGUAGCGGGUCUGAGAGGAUGAUCCGCCACACUGGGACUGAGACACGGCCCAGACUCCUACGGGAGGCAGCAGUGGGGAAUAUUGGACAAUGGGGGGAACCCUGAUCCAGCCAUGCCGCGUGUGUGAAGAAGGCCUUAUGGUUGUAAAGCACUUUAAGCGAGGAGGAGGCUCUUUCGGUUAAUACCCAAGAUGAGUGGACGUUACUCGCAGAAUAAGCACCGGCUAACUCUGUGCCAGCCGCCGCGGUAA